CGAAGGGUGCAAGCGUUAAUCGGAAUUACUGGGCGUAAAGCGUGCGUAGAUGGCUAAUUAAGUCGGAUGUGAAAGCCCCGGGCUCAACCUGGGAAUGGCAUCCGAUACUGGUUGGCUAGAGUGCGGUAGAGGAGAGCGGAAUUCCCGGUGUAGCGGUGAAAUGCGUAGAGAUCGGGAGGAACAUCCGUGGCGAAGGCGGCUCUCUGGACCAGCACUGACGUUGAGGCACGAAAGCGUGGGGAGCAAACAGGAUUAGAUACCCUGGUAGUCCACGCCCUAAACGAUGUCGACUGGAUGUUGGGCACACUUUGGUGCUCAGUAUCGAAGCUAACGCGUUAAGUCGACCGCCUGGGGAGUAUGCGCGCAAGCGUG
RNAcentral lists this ribosomal RNA (372 nucleotides) under uncultured organism. RNAcentral's name for it is "bacterial SSU rRNA". It matches the Rfam family "Bacterial small subunit ribosomal RNA", at positions 526 to 896 of the family's 1533-position model. The record is from RNAcentral.